This 253-nucleotide ribosomal RNA is filed under the name uncultured bacterium. RNAcentral's name for it is "partial 16S ribosomal RNA". It matches the Rfam family "Bacterial small subunit ribosomal RNA", at positions 524 to 776 of the family's 1533-position model. The record is from RNAcentral. RNAcentral also lists the same sequence under 1 other name.
UACGGAGGGGGCUAGCGUUGUUCGGAAUUACUGGGCGUAAAGCGCACGUAGGCGGACUGAAAAGUUGGAGGUGAAAUCCCAGGGCUCAACCUUGGAACUGCCUUCAAAACUAUCAGUCUGGAGUUCGAGAGAGGUGAGUGGAAUUCCGAGUGUAGAGGUGAAAUUCGUAGAUAUUCGGAGGAACACCAGUGGCGAAGGCGGCUCACUGGCUCGAUACUGACGCUGAGGUGCGAAAGCGUGGGGAGCAAACAGG